RNAcentral lists this ribosomal RNA (253 nucleotides) under uncultured bacterium. Its description in RNAcentral is "partial 16S ribosomal RNA". It matches the Rfam family "Bacterial small subunit ribosomal RNA", at positions 524 to 776 of the family's 1533-position model. The record is from RNAcentral.
UACGGAGGGAGCUAGCGUUGUUCGGAAUUACUGGGCGUAAAGGGCUCGUAGGCGGCCAACUAAGUCAGACGUGAAAUCCCCAGGCUCAACCUGGGAACUGCGUCUGAUACUGGAUGGCUUGAAUCCGGGAGAGGGAUGCAGAAUUCCAGGUGUAGCGGUGAAAUGCGUAGAUAUCUGGAGGAAUACCGGUGGCGAAGGCGGCAUCCUGGACCGGCAUUGACGCUGAGGAGCGAAAGCCAGGGGAGCAAACGGG